UUACUAUAGUUUUGCUAUAAUCAAAGGCAGCAUCUGUAGUUAGAACAGUAAUGUCACUGUGGUGUAAAAUGAAUACUUCAGAAAAUGUUCCAGCCCAUCAUGGGUUACUGUAAUGGGAAUCUAGAUAAGCAACUUAAGGUUUAGGGAUAACACUAAGCCUUCCACUGAAUUCUGAUCAACACUUUGAUCUUGCAAGUCUGCAUGCCACUCUGGCAAAAAAAGAAACCACUGUAACAACAGCAGGUGGCUUAAAAAUACCUUGCUUGUUCACUGAGGCACAGACAGAUGGAACCAGCAGAGCAAACCCACUGAUGAUGUUUUAGAGCCAUUUUGGCAAGUUCCAAAAUAUAUUCCCUUCUUCCCACUAUGUAACUGCUGACAGAUGUCAGCAGACCUGGAAUAAGAGAAUGAGAGCUCAGUUCCCCACCUCUUACCACCUUAUCUUCUCUGGUUCUGCAGAGCUCCGGAGUGUGACAGGAGAGGUUGAUACUGAAAGACUCUGAUGUGGAACAGGCUUUUAUUUUUGUCAAGACGAUGCACACUUCAAUCCUCAAGCUUCAGUAUGCCAGAGCUAAACUAGCCUAGCAGGCAGCCUUUUCGUUUCAAGAGACACAGAAACAAGAAGGAUGCACUGCAGCAGAAAAUUAGGUUAAAACCAGUAGCAAAUCUCAGUCUCUACCUACAGAGAAGAAAGUAUUUCAAAGGAUGAUGGCUCUCUUAGGCAAAGGGAAAAGAAUGAAGAGGAAGCUGCAAGUGAGCUGACAGAAUCAAGCAACUACUCCCCCCAGUCAAAAACAGAAAUAAGAAAUCCCUCAGAUAAAAUAUCAUAGAAAUUUAACAGCUCAAUCACUAUCAGUGGAGGAUCUGUAACAAGGAAUAAUUCCAUCAGUAGUACUUGGUUAAAUGAACAUUCACCAUGGUGAAGACUGAACUUGAAGAGGCUCAUCUCUAAUUGAUUACUCAACCAGUGAAGAAGAUGGUUGUUCUGAGCUUCACCUUUUUACUCAGUUUCUAAAUACUAAACUAUUUUCUGCAAGUAAGGAUGUCUUGUGCAGGGUGGAGUGAGGUAUCUCAUUAUGUCCAUAAUGCAGAACAUUUGAUAUAGCCUGUAUGGAAGAGUGACAACUCUUUUUUUUCAAAGCAUUAAAUCAAGUAAAGAUUAGUUUUAUUGCAGUGCUCAAAUUUUUGGAAUAUUUUUGUUUAAAAAAAAUAUUGUUUUCCUCUGAAAGGCACUGUUCAAAGUGUGUUUUAACAAUGAAAUGGUUAAAUGCAAUUAUGCACAUAGACUCAGUGGAAAAUAGAUCUAGAGCCUGUUUUACCAAGCAAGAUAAUUGCACACCUCUUGUAUGUAAUUUGAAUGAUUUUUCAUGGUAUCAAAACUUUGGAAUUAGAGUAAUAUUGCUAUUCUUUUCAGUUCAAAGAUAAACAAAAUGUGUAAGGAAAGAACUACAUGGAAAAGACUUUUUGUGACUUCAGUGAAUUUUAGCUUUUGGCAGUUUCUGAAAAAUGCUUCCCUUCCAAAAAAAAGUCACCCUUGCUCAUACAUCUUACCUACUUUCAAUUUAACACUGUACAUCAUAAAAGCAAGGACAAUCUAAGGUUAAGAAAAGAAAGUUCUUUCUUUUCAGAAAGAGAUCUGUGAACAGAGCAAUAUCCCUUGAAAGGGCUGACUUCCUAAUCAGAAGCAGUUGCAUCAGAACUAUUGAAGGAGGUGGCGAAACAACUUGGAAAAUCAAUGAAACUCUUUAAAUACUAUGUAUGGUGAAAAGUCUCUUCCAGACUCAGCUGAUCCAUACAAGUCAAGUUUGCACGGGUCAGAUUUGCCGAGAGCUUGCUGGUUUUUAGAAUUUAACAUUUUCAAGAUAUUUUAUAGGCAUUCACUCAACCCCUUGGAAUUCCUACUUGUAUUGGCUACAAAACAGGAAAAAGAAAAGUAAAACAAACAAAAACUGAAAACUGAUGGCAAAGCUGCCAGCGUCCGUAUGCUGUAGACAUUGAGCCAGGUUUACUGGAUGCCAUGAGCCUGACUUCUUGUGCAGUUAGUUUCUUGUUGACUAUCCUUGAUCACUACACUAAGUCUCAGAGAAUAAACACAUGCAGAUACAUAGAGAAGUAUUUCCUUUGCUUCUUAAGACAGUGUGGGGCAUCAAAACAGAUUUUGCAGAAGAGGGGGAGGAGCUAAGUAUCUGAGGGACUGUAUCCCAAGCCAUAAGUUUCAGCCUUUCUCCAGGCAGGAGAUUGGAAACGGGUCCUCAGCCAGCACUGUGGCUUGAUCUGUGCCAGAGACCUUAAGCAUCUCUCGCAGGCAGGUUUACACGCAUUGACUCUGUGCCUCCCUCCAGGCUUCAGCUAGGUUUUCUGAGUCCUGCUGCUGGACUGAGUUAAGAAAACAGUAGAUAUCUGGUGAUAUCAGUAUAAACUGGUGAUAUCAGUCUCAGCACUGUAAUAAAUGUAGUUAUCCAAACAUGGAAGUAAGCUGAACAUUGCAGAGAAAGUAAAAUGUAAAUGUUUUGAGUUCACAUAGUUUUUGCUGUGUGUUUCCAAUGCCAAGUUCUUCUCUUUCUCUUUCAGGCAUUGACUGAGGGCAGCAGGUGUUGUGUCCUUCCUAAAAUAACUCUUCAAGAUGGUUCUUAUAAUCUGGCAAAGGUAAACAAAAUAAAAACUAUACAGACAGGAAAAGUUCUUCGAAGAAUUGUUGAUUGCAUAAAAGUUACCUAAAUUACUAGCAAUACUAUUUAAAUUAUUAACAUUAUUUUAUUGGUAAGACUGCUGAUUUUGUUCAUCUUACUUGGUGGAAUAUUGUCAUUCAAAGGCAUCUUUGAAUGAAAGUUUAUUUUUACAAAGAAGAACAAAGGAAAAUCAUGUAUUUCUUUUUUUCACUUUUUUCUUCUAAAACAAGACAAUAAAAACCCCUCCAAAUAAAAGAGCAAAAAAAUCUUUUUACUUAUCCAAAACCAUUUAAACUGCACUGAAAUGAAUACUUCCUUGCUCUCUCAUUUAUGCAAAUGAACAAUAAUCACACCUAUCCUGAAGUUAAAUCCUGACUUUAAACCCAAUUCAGACAAUAAUGCAGCAUAAAUUAAAGGAAAAAAAAAAAAAAAAAAAAAAAAAGACAAGUUAAUAUUAUGAGCUCCACAAUAAUUGGGGCGGAUUUUGCAUAAAAUAUUCUCCUGUGCAGCCAGCAGUUGCAACCACAGUUACUCUAAUUCUACACAAUCACAAAAGCAAGAACAUUUCAUAAAAUCUUAUCCUCUGUGUCAAACUUUCUGUUGCCUUCCACAGGCCUACUAUCCAUAAGUCAAGUCUAAAACCAAUUAAA
Molecule: long non-coding RNA, 3319 nt
Organism: Columba livia (rock pigeon)
Lineage: Eukaryota; Metazoa; Chordata; Aves; Columbiformes; Columbidae
Exons: 5
Source: RefSeq, a predicted model, not a curated record